ACUCCUACGGGAGGCAGCAGUAGGGAAUCUUCCACAAUGGGCGCAAGCCUGAUGGAGCAACACCGCGUGAGUGAAGAAGGGUUUCGGCUCGUAAAGCUCUGUUGUUAAAGAAGAACACGUAUGAGAGUAACUGUUCAUACGUUGACGGUAUUUAACCAGAAAGUCACGGCUAACUACGUGCCAGCAGCCGCGGUAAUACGUAGGUGGCAAGCGUUAUCCGGAUUUAUUGGGCGUAAAGAGAGUGCAGGCGGUUUUCUAAGUCUGAUGUGAAAGCCUUCGGCUUAACCGGAGAAGUGCAUCGGAAACUGGAUAACUUGAGUGCAGAAGAGGGUAGUGGAACUCCAUGUGUAGCGGUGGAAUGCGUAGAUAUAUGGAAGAACACCAGUGGCGAAGGCGGCUACCUGGUCUGCAACCGACGCUGAGACUCGAAAGCAUGGGUAGCGAACAGGAUUAGAUACCCCUGGUAGGAUAGCG
Molecule: ribosomal RNA, 474 nt
Filed under: uncultured bacterium
Lineage: Bacteria
Description: bacterial SSU rRNA
Rfam family: Bacterial small subunit ribosomal RNA
Source: RNAcentral